UACGUAGGGCGCAAGCGUUGUCCGGAAUUAUUGGGCGUAAAGAGCUCGUAGGCGGCUUGUCACGUCGGUUGUGAAAGCCCGGGGCUUAACCCCGGGUCUGCAGUCGAUACGGGCAGGCUAGAGUGUGGUAGGGGAGAUCGGAAUUCCUGGUGUAGCGGUGAAAUGCGCAGAUAUCAGGAGGAACACCGGUGGCGAAGGCGGUUCUCUGGGCACGAUCUGACGCUGAGGAGCGAAAGUGUGGGGAGCGAACAGG
Molecule: ribosomal RNA, 253 nt
Filed under: uncultured bacterium
Lineage: Bacteria
Description: partial 16S ribosomal RNA
Rfam family: Bacterial small subunit ribosomal RNA
Source: RNAcentral